AGUGAACGCUGGCGGUAGGCCUAACACAUGCAAGUCGAACGGCAGCACAGUAAGAGCUUGCUCUUACGGGUGGCGAGUGGCGGACGGGUGAGGAAUACAUCGGAAUCUACUUUUUCGUGGGGGAUAACGUAGGGAAACUUACGCUAAUACCGCAUACGACCUACGGGUGAAAGCAGGGGAUCUUCGGACCUUGCGCGAUUGAAUGAGCCGAUGUCGGAUUAGCUAGUUGGCGGGGUAAAGGCCCACCAAGGCGACGAUCCGUAGCUGGUCUGAGAGGAUGAUCAGCCACACUGGAACUGAGACACGGUCCAGACUCCUAAGGGAGGCAGCAGUGGGGAAUAUUGGACAAUGGGCGCAAGCCUGAUCCAGCCAUACCGCGUGGGUGAAGAAGGCCUUCGGGUUGUAAAGCCCUUUUGUUGGGAAAGAAAAGCAUCAGGUUAAUACCCCGCUGUUCUGACGGUACCCAAAGAAUAAGCACCGGCUAACUUCGUG
Molecule: ribosomal RNA, 492 nt
Filed under: uncultured bacterium
Lineage: Bacteria
Description: partial 16S ribosomal RNA
Rfam family: Bacterial small subunit ribosomal RNA
Source: RNAcentral